Molecule: small nucleolar RNA, 85 nt
Filed under: Oryza punctata
Lineage: Eukaryota; Viridiplantae; Streptophyta; Magnoliopsida; Poales; Poaceae
Description: snoRNA U54
Rfam family: Small nucleolar RNA U54
About the family: U54 is a C/D box small nucleolar RNA, which acts as a methylation guide for 18S ribosomal RNA in plants.
Source: Rfam by way of RNAcentral
UGCUCAAUGAUUAUUAAGUCAUGUUAAGCCAUGGCAAUAUACGCUAUUCUGAAUCAUAUAGGAUGUCAUAAACAUUAUGAGAGCA